AUUUAUUGAAUUUUAAAUCAUGGCGGAUUUAUAAUUUGUUACUGUAGUAAUUUUAUGCUAUUUCAGAAUUGAAUAAAAUACUUAAUGGACGUUACAUUUGGGGAAGUUGUGAAGGUAAUAAAUUCGAGAAUAAGUAGAAUAAAGGUCAGUCUUAAUGAAGUAAUGGGGGAAUUUCGAAGUUGGUUUUACCCGAUGUAAUCCUACAAAGGUUUCUAGGCAGCACUAAAUCAACUAUUAAUAGACGCCCAGUCUGAGGGUAGACAGGUGCAGAUCGAAAAAGAGGCGAAGUAGUCAAAUAAUUAGUGGUCGGUUAUGCGACGAAUGGCCAGAAUGUUGAUAAAUGUGUGUUAAUAACGUAGAAAACGGAGGUGGUUGCGAACAUCACACCAUUAAUUCCAGUGGUUAGCGUACGAGUGUAGACUUUAGUUAUAGGAGGUAAUAAAUCACAAAUUGUUCGUGGUUGGGGAACGCCGGCCUAAUUGACUGUGAGGGAGACCUGCUCUUCGGGCCGCUUUUUUGCACCAAUUACCACUAAUUAAUUUACAAUUUUUUAUGUUGGGGAAACUUCCUUUGACCAUAGCGAUGUUAUUAAAGGAAACGUAUUAUAUGUAGUAUGAUUAAACCACAAUUUAAUUUAGACAUACAUCUAUGACAUUUUAAUUAGUCUACUUCAACGGAAAUAAUUGCUUUUUAUUUUUUAUUUGUUUACAACUUCGAAGAAGUAGUUUCGUACUUAGGUAUAGGUAAACAAAAUAUACGUGAACUGAUAUAAUUUUUUAAAAUAGUACUUCUUAGAAACCAGAUGAAAUUAUUUAUUGAGUUAAAGCAUUGUUCUUUCACACAAUGGGUCAUAAAUAAAAAUUAAUUGACUUAGACCAAGUAUUUAUACAUCUCAAGUAAGGUAUUUCCGCAUUCAUAUAUUUUCAAAACGUAAUGAUGGGUCAUAAAUUGAAAAUUAUUAUUUUCCUAUUCGUUAUAUUAUGUAAAAUAUGUGUUUCGAGAGCUUCUCGCGAUGCUAAUGCAAAGCGUGCAAUGGCUAAGCGAAGUGUUUUCAUUACAGACGAUCAUCGAUCUUAUGGCAUGCAUGCCAAAUUGGUACCCCGAUAUCCGCAUUUUAAAGUUGAGCACGAUUCCAUAAAAGGAUUUUUCCCACAAUUGAGGCCAAGUACCACCACACCUGGGUGUGUUGAGUAUGAGUUAAAUUCAGACGUAUUAAACUCAGAUGUAUUAUUUGAGGAAUAAGAUAAUCUGAAAUAUAUUAAUUAGUAAUUAGAAUUCAAUUCAGAAUUAAAAUAGUUUUAUUUAUCAGUUAA
Long non-coding RNA from Aethina tumida (small hive beetle), 1313 nucleotides. RefSeq lists it as uncharacterized. The record is from RefSeq and is a predicted model, not a curated record. NCBI's taxonomy places the organism in Eukaryota, Metazoa, Arthropoda, Insecta, Coleoptera, Nitidulidae. The transcript has 2 exons.